RNAcentral lists this ribosomal RNA (278 nucleotides) under Phocaeicola plebeius DSM 17135. RNAcentral's name for it is "partial 16S ribosomal RNA". It matches the Rfam family "Bacterial small subunit ribosomal RNA", at positions 524 to 801 of the family's 1533-position model. Lineage: Bacteria; Pseudomonadati; Bacteroidota; Bacteroidia; Bacteroidales; Bacteroidaceae. The record is from RNAcentral.
UACGGAGGAUGCGAGCGUUAUCCGGAUUUAUUGGGUUUAAAGGGAGCGCAGACGGGUCGUUAAGUCAGCUGUGAAAGUUUGGGGCUCAACCUUAAAAUUGCAGUUGAUACUGGCGUCCUUGAGUGCGGUUGAGGUGUGCGGAAUUCGUGGUGUAGCGGUGAAAUGCUUAGAUAUCACGAAGAACUCCGAUUGCGAAGGCAGCACACUAAUCCGUAACUGACGUUCAUGCUCGAAAGUGUGGGUAUCAAACAGGAUUAGAUACCCCCGGCUGACUGACU